GAUGAACGCUGGCGGCGUGCCUAAUACAUGCAAGUCGAGCAAACGGACGAGAAGCUUGCUUCUCUGAUGUUAGCGGCGGACGGGUGAGUAACACGUGGAUAACCUACCUAUAAGACUGGGAUAACUUCGGGAAACCGGAGCUAAUACCGGAUGAUAUUUUGAACCGCAUGGUUCAAAAGUGAAAGACGGUCUUGCUGUCACUUAUAGAUGGAUCCGCGCUGCAUUAGCUAGUUGGUAAGGUAACGGCUUACCAAGGCAACGAUGCAUAGCCGACCUGAGAGGGUGAUCGGCCCCACUGGAACUGGGCCCCGGUCCAGACUCCUCCGGGAGGCAGCAGUAGGGAAUCUUCCGCAAUGGGCGAAAGCCUGACGGAGCAACGCCGCUUGGGUGAUGAGGGUCUUCGGAUCGUAAACUCUGUUAUUAGGGAAGAACAUAUGUGUAAGUAACUGUGCACAUCUUGACGGUACCUAAUCAGAAAGCCACGGCUAACUACGUG
RNAcentral lists this ribosomal RNA (496 nucleotides) under uncultured bacterium. Its description in RNAcentral is "partial 16S ribosomal RNA". It matches the Rfam family "Bacterial small subunit ribosomal RNA", at positions 28 to 507 of the family's 1533-position model. The record is from RNAcentral.